This 467-nucleotide ribosomal RNA is filed under the name uncultured bacterium. Its description in RNAcentral is "partial 16S ribosomal RNA". It matches the Rfam family "Bacterial small subunit ribosomal RNA", at positions 28 to 507 of the family's 1533-position model. The record is from RNAcentral.
GAUGAACGCUGACAGAAUGCUUAACACAUGCAAGUCCACUUGAAUUUGGGUUUUUAACUUAGGUUUGGGUGGCGGACGGGUGAGUAACGCGUAAAGAACUUGCCUCACAGCUAGGGACAACAUUUGGAAACGAAUGCUAAUACCUAAUAUUAUGAUAAUAGGGCAUCCUAUAAUUAUGAAAGCUAUAAGCGCUGUGAGAGAGCUUUGCGUCCCAUUAGCUAGUUGGAGAGGUAACGGCUCACCAAGGCGAUGAUGGGUAGCCGGCCUGAGAGGGUGAUCGGCCACAAGGGGACUGAGACACGGCCCUUACUCCUACGGGAGGCAGCAGUGGGGAAUAUUGGACAAUGGACCGAGAGUCUGAUCCAGCAAUUCUGUGUGCACGAUGAAGUUUUUCGGAAUGUAAAGUGCUUUCAGUUGGGAAGAAACAAAUGACGGUACCAACAGAAGAAGAGACGGCUAAAUACGUG